RNAcentral lists this ribosomal RNA (695 nucleotides) under uncultured beta proteobacterium. RNAcentral's name for it is "bacterial SSU rRNA". It matches the Rfam family "Bacterial small subunit ribosomal RNA", at positions 58 to 745 of the family's 1533-position model. The record is from RNAcentral. Lineage: Bacteria; Pseudomonadati; Pseudomonadota; Betaproteobacteria.
CANGUCGAACGGCAGCGGGGGCUUCGGCCUGCCGGCGAGUGGCGAACGGGUGAGUAAUGCAUCGGAACGUGCCCAUGUCGUGGGGGAUAACUACGCGAAAGCGUAGCUAAUACCGCAUACGCCCUGAGGGGGAAAGCGGGGGAUUCUUCGGAACCUCGCGCGAUUGGAGCGGCCGAUGUCAGAUUAGCUAGUUGGUGAGGUAAAGGCUCACCAAGGCGACGAUCUGUAGCGGGUCUGAGAGGAUGAUCCGCCACACUGGGACUGAGACACGGCCCAGACUCCUACGGGAGGCAGCAGUGGGGAAUUUUGGACAAUGGGCGCAAGCCUGAUCCAGCCAUGCCGCGUGAGUGAAGAAGGCCUUCGGGUUGUAAAGCUCUUUCGGCCGGGAAGAAAUCGCAUUCUCUAAUAUAGGAUGUGGAUGACGGUACCGGACUAAGAAGCACCGGCUAACUACGUGCCAGCAGCCGCGGUAAUACGUAGGGUGCGAGCGUUAAUCGGAAUUACUGGGCGUAAAGCGUGCGCAGGCGGUUUUGUAAGACAGAUGUGAAAUCCCCGGGCUUAACCUGGGAACUGCGUUUGUGACUGCAAGGCUAGAGUACGGCAGAGGGGGGUGGAAUUCCUGGUGUAGCANUGAAAUGCGUANAUAUCAGGAGGAACACCGAUGGCGAAGGCAGCCCCCUGGGCCUGUACUGACG